CAUCAUUGUAUACAUUACAUUUUGGUAUAUUGUCUUUAGCUUUCAUUCUGUGCUAGGAUUUAAAAUUUUUCUGUAGGCAGAGUUAUUUGUUUGUUUGUUUUUGUCAGUACUGCGAAUCAGUUCUGUCCCACCAUCUGGUUCACAAAUAAUCACACAGAGACUUAUUAUCAUUAAUGAUAAAUGCUUGGCCGAUACCUUAGGCUUGUUACCCACUAGCUGUUACAACUUAAAUCAACCCAUAUUUCUUAUCUACUCUCUACCAACGGCAAUACCUUUUUUCAGCGUGUUCAUCUCCUGCUUUCUGUGCAUCUCACUAGUAACUCUGCCCUUCUUUCCAUGCUCUCUUUUUGUCUGAAAGUCCUGCCUACCUAUUGGCCAUUCAGCCCUUUAUUAAACCAAUCCAAGUGACAAAUCUUCACCGUGUACAAAAGGAUUAUUCCUCAACAGUUCUUCUUGAUUUCUUCAGUGAUCCAAUCACCAUUCAACCAUUCAAAUACUGCAGUGUUGAAGUGAACCUAACACAAUGGUUAAGAAUGAAGACUCUGGAUGUCCUAAACAAAAGAAUGAAGAUUCUGGAGAGACAGACAGUUCUGGGUUCGAAUCUUCAUCUGCCAUUUUAAAUUACUAAAGGGCUGGGGCUUAUGUGUGCAGCAUAAGACAAUACACAAGUUCAGGAUACUUCUUGUUUUAAGAGACCUGGUUACAGUAGAGACCGGAACUAGUGAAACAUGAGAUGCAACUCCAAGUGAGACGAGUAAAAUUGACAGCAGGAGAAGGUGAGAGGCUGAAGGAUGGGCAGUCCAGGUGUACUGAAGAAGUCCACACUGAAAGGAAGAUUAGUCAGUACCAUCCCUCAUUGAAGAAAUGGAGACCAUCACAGAGAACCACAACUGGACAUAAUGUAGAGAUCAAUGGAUUUGUGGGAUCCUGGCCCCAAUGGAUACAUCUAUAGCACAGCUCCUAUGUCUAUAGCUCAAGGAACAGCGUGGAAGAGGAAGUGGAAAGGCUACAAGGGCCGGAAUACCAGCAAGUCUGCUGUGAGACAGUCUUUCCUAAAAACGACUGUGUAAACAAGAUUGGAACAAUGGCAGUAUCAUUGGACAUGUUAACGUGGAAGGGGACAUUUCAAGAGUUUCUAGCCCUAGAAAGAGAAUUACAGGCAGCUAAUGACUGAUGGGAGAAGGAGAACUAACCUGUUCUGGGGAUGAGCCCCAUAUUGGUUGUCCAACCAUGACUGGCCAUGAAACCAUAUACACACAAAUAACAAAAUUAGAUUCAGCAGGUUAUAUUUAUAUGUGUUUGUGCACACACAUCCGUGUGUGUGUGUGUGUGUGUGUGUGUGUGUGUGUGUGUGUGUGUGCAACAAUAAUAUUCAAAGCAAAGGAGAAUAUCAUCCUUAGAGUUGGGGGAGUCGAUGGAGUAUCUGGCAGAAACUGUAGGGAAGAAGGGGGCAGAGCAUUAUAAUUCUAUUCUAACUGAAGCCAUUUUUAAAAGCCUUCCUGACUAGAACAGGAGGCUAUGCCCUAGUGACUCUGAUCUGUGUGUCCUGAUGAUCAGAGGAGCGGAACACUUGCUGUAUUGUCUUCCUACAUUGUUGUUUUUUCCAUACAGUUGUUGCCCAGUCAACCACUUUAAAAUUGACAGAUUUGUUUUCUGCUGUUCCAUGAGCGGCCCUGCACUGCACGCCACCCCCUCUGUCAGGUCCUGAAGUGCUGUUCAUCCGUACACGGCACGCCACCCCCUCUGUCAGAUACAAGGCUGAUGGCAUGUUGACUUCUAAUUCAGC
This 1786-nucleotide long non-coding RNA is filed under the name Cricetulus griseus (Chinese hamster). RNAcentral's name for it is "lncRNA (ENSCGRG00015037281.1)". Lineage: Eukaryota; Metazoa; Chordata; Mammalia; Rodentia; Cricetidae. The record is from RNAcentral.